This 367-nucleotide transfer-messenger RNA is filed under the name Rhodobiaceae bacterium. It matches the Rfam family "Alphaproteobacteria transfer-messenger RNA". Rfam says of the family: Bacterial tmRNA, also known as 10Sa RNA or SsrA, is named for its dual tRNA and mRNA-like properties. Its role is to liberate the mRNA from a stalled ribosome. To accomplish this part of the tmRNA is used as a reading frame that ends in a translation stop signal. Lineage: Bacteria; Pseudomonadati; Pseudomonadota; Alphaproteobacteria; Hyphomicrobiales; Rhodobiaceae. The record is from RNAcentral.
AACCUUUAAUUCAGAGCUUUAAGCCCCUAUAUUAGUUCUGCUGGGCAACCAGCUAUGGCGAUAAACUGAUUUCGUAAUAAACCAUUCGGACCCGGGGGCAGUACCCGGCGCCUCCACCAAAAACUCAAACCCUGGGCAACCAGAUAUUUUGAGCUUUUCAGGGGGGCGAAACAGGAUCGACGAGGGUGUAAAGGAUCUACUUUCGCUCGGCAUGGUUCCGCCGUUAUCGGGCCAUAUGAUAGUUGCAAAUGACAACUACGCUGAGGCUCGUCUCGCUGCGUAAGCAGUGCGACGGUUUCAAAUUAAGUCCUGAGGGUUAGCACUUUUAGGCGGGGUUCGGAGGCACCUGGCAACAGAAGCCUCCACU